GGCGCGCGCAGAUCCCAGACCGGCCUUUUCGGGCCGCAGUAGCGGCGAGGGGGCUGCGUGUGCCCAUCCCUGCCGUUAAAAAUGCAUCAACUACACUCUUCCCUCUUGUGGCUUCAAAACAGGUCUGCCACCAAAUAAGGAGACUUGAUGCUACUUUACAAGGAUUUGAAUUGUGCCCUUGGAAGACCUGCAGAAGAAACACCCACCUGACACUGGGAGAUGAAACUGUAAGCUUUGCAAGGCCCUUGGGUAGAGGAUACCUGUGUCUCCAGUGUGGGAGAAACUGUUUCACCUGCUGAUGGUGUUGAAGAUGAGGCCUUUCUAACUGAAGGUAAUGGAAAAACAUUUGGCUGUGCUGCAGUUGAUCUUAGGAGUUCAUUUUUGGACAUAAAAGGGUGUGCAAAUCCAUUUUGUUUCUGGAAGAUCUGAAGCAAAGGCUUCCAAAGUGUUUCUCCUUGCAAUGUACAGUACAGCUGUGAAAUGGUACAGUUGGAUAGUGCUGCCACCAGAAAGUGAAGAUCAUGGGGAGUUUGUGUGAGAAACAAGACUGACUUAUGUCUGAGGAAAGGACUGUGCUGUCUGCAACCUUGUUGGGUGAGGAGGCAACUUUGAAACUACUGUAUGAAGAACUGAGAAGGUGGAACAUUGCAGAAUAACGGAUUACACUUGUGUGAACAGUGCUAAAAAAGCCAAGUGUUUUUUUACCACACUGGUAAUGUUUGUCUGAUACUGAUGGGAACCAAUAAAUACUUGUAAACUCU
Long non-coding RNA from Athene cunicularia (burrowing owl), 761 nucleotides. RefSeq lists it as uncharacterized. The transcript has 12 exons. NCBI's taxonomy places the organism in Eukaryota, Metazoa, Chordata, Aves, Strigiformes, Strigidae. The record is from RefSeq and is a predicted model, not a curated record.